RNAcentral lists this long non-coding RNA (340 nucleotides) under Physcomitrium patens. RNAcentral's name for it is "long non-coding RNA (PPAT_LNC001068)". Lineage: Eukaryota; Viridiplantae; Streptophyta; Bryopsida; Funariales; Funariaceae. The record is from RNAcentral.
UUACAAAGUCAUUACAAAUCCAAAUCAGUCAAAAUUAAUGCUUAUAAAAAUCCUAUCAAGUUUUCUCUCAAAUUCCUUUAAUGAUCUCUCAAAGAACCCUGAAGUCACUCUAAGUGCAUGGUUUUGUGCCAUGGAGUUUGAUUUCGACCUAAGUUGACAACUUGUCUUCUUGGGGUAUCAAUUCUUGGCUUCUUGAGGUAAAUUUGAUUAAAAUAUACUCUUAACUCCCUUCUACUUAUGCCUAUAUUAUUUUAUUUUCUAAUCUAUUUUAUUUUAUUUUAUUUAUGGUCCUACAAAAUAAAUAGAAGCUUAUUUUGUAAAAAGGCUGGAAUAGUAUUAU